Molecule: unclassified non-coding RNA, 312 nt
Filed under: Hevea brasiliensis (rubber tree)
Lineage: Eukaryota; Viridiplantae; Streptophyta; Magnoliopsida; Malpighiales; Euphorbiaceae
Source: RNAcentral
AAUCCGAUCGGCGCGCCGAUGCCAACACCGAGCACCGUCAUGAUGAUCGAGCCGACGAUGGCGUUCAGCAAUCCGCCGUCGGUGGAUCCGGGCGGCGGCGUGCUCUCGGUGAAGACACCGAGAUGCAGACCUGCAAAGCCGUUGUAGAACAGUGUGAACAGGAUCAGCGCGAGCCAGGUCACGCCGAAAACAGCUGCGCCAAGGCACAGGAACCGGAUAACGAUGUCCCAGCGGCGGCGANNNNNNNNNNNGUUCCCCGCCUUCUUUUCAAGACGCAUCAGCAUCAGCCGCGCCGCGGCCAGCACGAAGAAC